This 207-nucleotide ribosomal RNA is filed under the name uncultured bacterium. Its description in RNAcentral is "partial 16S ribosomal RNA". It matches the Rfam family "Bacterial small subunit ribosomal RNA", at positions 568 to 774 of the family's 1533-position model. The record is from RNAcentral.
UAUGUAGGCGGAUAUUUAAGUCAGAUGUGAAAUACCCAGGCUUAACCUGGGAACUGCAUUUGAAACUGGAUAUCUAGAGUGCAGGAGAGGAAAGUGGAAUUCCUAGUGUAGCGGUGAAAUGCGUAGAGAUUAGGAAGAACACCAGUGGCGAAGGCGACUUUCUGGACUGUAACUGACGCUGAGAUACGAAAGCGUGGGGAGCAAACA